GGUGCCCAUGACUUGGCAAACAAAACACACAUUUUUUUUUUUUUUUGUUAUUCAGGCGGGUUUUCUGAUCUGUAAUAUUUUCCUCCUCUCUCAACAUUGCACUUUCUUCUCUCUAGAUGAAGUUCAUUUACCAGGAAAAGCUUGGUUCCCACAUCCCUUGGCCUUUUGCAGCCAGCCUCCACUCCAACCUCCAGCAGCUGCUGGAAGUUUCCAGAAGCCAUUGGAAGUUUCUGGAAGCUUCUGGAAGCCACUUGGCCACUGCCCAGCAGACCCAAAUGACCUGCAUCCUGAAAUUCAAGAGGGUGGGGUGCCUGCAGGCUGUGCUGAGUGGCAGAGGGUUGAGGACAAAGCACAGAGACCAUGCCAGGAGGGUUACGACCUGCCCACACGACAGGUAUAACUCAGUGCUGGUUAGUGUCGGUAUCAAUGCUGAUAACGCUUUCAGAUGAACAGGAGACUACCAGGAACUACAUAUAAUUAGACACAGGCCAAGCAAAACCUAACAGCAUAAAAUCCUUCAGGGCCAGACAAAGAAACAGCUGCUCUCCUGAAACCCCAGAAGUGCAAUUGAGCUCCGAUUCACUCUCAGCAUCCAGCCUGUAAUUUUAUUCCUGGACCUUGUUCAUUUUAACUACCAUGAAUGCCACCUCUCUGUGAAGCUGCACUGAGGAAGGUGACAAAUGUGACUCCGGGCAGCUGUGUCAGAGAGGUUUCCCCAACAGGAGGUGCCAGCCCCUCCUCUCUGGUGUUCCCAUCCUGAAAGAACCACAGAUGGAUAAUCCUUGCACAUUGCCCACACAUGUUGCCAUCCAGAAGCUCCUCCAGUGCAAACCCAUGGGACAAAGCACCAACAAGGAAUGGCCCCCAGGAAUCCUUUUUUCAGCUGCAGUCAGAAACAUCCACCUUGCCAGACACAGAGGCAGGGAGUCCAACACGGACAACUUCCAGCCUUUUAACACAGGAUAUUUAACUUUCUUGAUUGUUUUAAGACUUUUACAGACAAAGGAAGGUCCACUCUGUUUAGGAGCAGCCAACAGUGGCUGCUAAUUAGCACUGUGAGGAAGAAUAUUCUUCUCUUAUGCCAGGAUUGGGAUAAUGUGUAUUACAAGCAAAAAGGGCACAUUAAAUAACUGAGAUGAGAAAUGACUAUAGAGUAGGAAGGUCUUACACAAGCAGAGCAAGAGUUGAGCCAAGACCAGAUCUGACUCCCAGAAAACCCUUUAAGCAAUAAAUAUCAGCAAAGUAGUCUCCUUUUUUUUUUUUAAUAGCAGAUAAUGGACUGAAUGCCUUACAGUCAUACAGAGCAUUCAAGAGCUGUUGCAAUAAAGUGACAGAGAGGAGGCCCUUGCUGUUAUGUUAUUAGAGACGUUUUAAAUCUCACCUACCAUGGGAUUACUGGGUUUGCAUCUCCCAUCAGUCUUGCUUAGGCUGACAGGCAAGCACAGCAAGCCCAGCUCCCACCAGCAGCUGUGCCUGUUAGCUGCCAGCCCCCACAGAGACAGCUCUCUGAGCCGCAUUUUUAAGCAAGGAGAAACCAUGGUGUUCAAUGGGAAGAAGGGCUGUGGAGAAGACUUGCAGAAGGAAGCAGCAGGUAGAGGAGCAGAUUGGGGCCAACAUCUUUGUGACAGGCUGAUUUGCAGAGAGAAGGAUUCAGCCAAGUUUCAAAGCUUCCCUGACAGCAUUUCUGUAGUCUGCAGUGCGCUCAGAGGAGAACCUUCACCCGCUGCAUGGGGACUUGUCGCUGAUCUGAAGCUACCUCUGCUGAAUAUCAGGGAAAUCAUAAGUGCUGGUCUGUGCUGCUUCUCGCACCUUCCUCCCCUGGAGGCAAAUGAAGCCCAUCAACACGGAGCUUCCAGCAAGGUGCCACGCUUCACUUUUUAUUGCACUCUUCAUGGAGACUGGAGAGCAAAAUCACCAGCAGGUUUCUACCUUUGUGGUAUUACUGCUCCAGGAGAGACAUUGGCUUGCCUCUUGCAAACGCUGCACCUGUUGGAAUGCUACACGGUCAGAAAAGACACCCACCAUGCCUGAAUGGAUAUUGCUGGGGCUUGCUGCCACUUCAUCACAGAGCAAGGACUGAAAUUUGACAUAUUGCAAGCUGAAGGAAAAGCUCUCUGGGCAAAGCAGUCCAGGGGAAGGGAGAGAAGAAGAGAUGUUGAAAGCCUGAGGCUGUGGUGGAAGCACUGUUAGCUCCAAUGAACCGUAAUUGAAGAGGGAAGAGAGGAGCAAACAGAGAUGCUGGGUACAAAUCCCCUCCCACGCACCCCAUCGAAACUUUUAUCCUACACAAAGCCACAUUGUGUGGCUUUUGUGUAAGCCAAAGCUUACAUUGCUCCUUUCUGUGAUCUCCUGCUGGUUAUGAACUGUAGUGUUUGGCCUGGGGUUACUUUCAAACCUUUUUUUUUUCCUUCACACUUCCUCAGCCCAAGGAGCCAGACUUCCUUCCACCCCAGACCCCACCAUACAUCUCCAGACCUUCUCCCCUUCCAGCAGCUGCCUCUCCUUUUUUAUUUUAUUCUUAGACCUACCCCACAGCUGUCUUUGAAUACCAACCUCAGGGCCUAGUGUCAGCACCCUUUGCUGUCACCAUUGCUGCU
Cygnus olor (mute swan) is the source of this 2597-nucleotide long non-coding RNA. RefSeq lists it as uncharacterized. The record is from RefSeq and is a predicted model, not a curated record. Lineage: Eukaryota; Metazoa; Chordata; Aves; Anseriformes; Anatidae. The transcript is spliced from 6 exons.